UAACCUGCCCAAGAGAUCGGGAUAACACCUGGAAACAGAUGCUAAUACCGGAUAACAACAGAUGAUGCCUAUCAACUGUUUAAAAGAUGGUUCUGCUAUCACUCUUGGAUGGACCUGCGGUGCAUUAGCUAGUUGGUAGGGUAACGGCCUACCAAGGCGAUGAUGCAUAGCCGAGUUGAGAGACUGAUCGGCCACUAUUGGGACUGAGACACGGGCCCAAACUCCUACGGGAGGCAGCAGGG
RNAcentral lists this ribosomal RNA (242 nucleotides) under uncultured Lactobacillus sp. RNAcentral describes it as "partial 16S ribosomal RNA". It matches the Rfam family "Bacterial small subunit ribosomal RNA", at positions 122 to 354 of the family's 1533-position model. Lineage: Bacteria; Bacillati; Bacillota; Bacilli; Lactobacillales; Lactobacillaceae. The record is from RNAcentral.